RNAcentral lists this unclassified non-coding RNA (3827 nucleotides) under Hevea brasiliensis (rubber tree). Lineage: Eukaryota; Viridiplantae; Streptophyta; Magnoliopsida; Malpighiales; Euphorbiaceae. The record is from RNAcentral.
UCUGCUCAAAUUUAAAGACCUGGAAAAUUUAAAGCUCGCUGAAGAUUUAGCAAAGGCAUGCUUUGAAAUGUAUUCAGUCACUUCUACUGGUCUUGCCCCAGAAAUUGCUUAUUUCAACACCAAGGAAUAUUCUGAAGGUGGGCUUGAUUGUGGAAAUAAAGGUUCUAAGUUUGUUGAUGACAUAAUAAUCAAACACUCUGAUUGUCAUAAUCUUUUGCGCCUGGAAAUUGUAGAAUCGUUGUCUGUAUUGUAUCGAAUUACAGAGGACCCAAAAUACUGUGAAUGGGGUUGGCCAAUCUUUGAAACAUUUGAGAAGUACACAAAGGUUGAAUCUGGUGGGUAUUGUUCUUUAGAAGAUGUCACAGUGCUUCCUCCUCAGAGAAGAGACAAGAUGGGGACCUUCUAUUUGGGAGAGACAUUGAAGUAUCUGUACUUGCUACUUGGGGAUAGCUCCAUUGGAUAAGUUUGUCUUUAACACAGAAGUUCAUCCUCUUCCUAUUAAACGUAACUGGGAGGGACUGGUGUCUUUUCUAUCUGAAGCACACAUGUGAAGAAACACAUUUGCAACUUGUAUUUUGGUGAGAAAUAGACUCGAGUACUUCUUGCAAAAUGGUGGUCAAUGAAGUACAAAUCAAGAAUUGAUAGCAGUGCAAUGUGUCGGACAUUUAAUCUGCACUAAUUGUCUACAGAGCAGAACAAUUUUUUGGGGCAACUCUAUUCAUAUGGCCCAUCAGAUUAUGACAUGGUUGUAAGAUGUAAUUGUUUUAGUUAACAUUCUUCAUAUUUAUAUGUGGAUGAGGUUCUUUGCUCCGAAAGUACUGAAUGAAAGUGCAACCAUCUGUAAUUGACUUAUCCAAUUUUCCAGCACUUGCUGCAGUUUUGGAGGCCUAUUUGGACCAACUUAUAUAUUGCACUUUUUGUCAAUAUUUCUUUAUUCAUCGUUCAAGAUAUCAAGCUAAUCUGCAUGUCUACAUCGAAAACUUCAACAAACUUUUAGGUCACAUCGCAAUCCAAAUUUUCGGUGUCACUUUGAAAGAGAAACAGAUGAUCACCAUCUCGAAUGACACAUAUAUCAUCUAUUUCUGCAUUAUCAGAAUUGAUGACUCUUGUAAAUUUGUACCCUCCAAACUUUUCACCGCCAAUUAUGAGCAGCUCUUCUAUGGAAUCAGGCAGUAUAAUUAGCUUUCCACGGGGCCUCUUCAAUGUACUUCUGUUGUGAAACUGCGUAUGGAUAGUGACUCUCUUCUUGGUUAAUUUCUUUGAUUCCCUAUUGCUGGGACAGCUAUAGGGGCGUGAACUAGAGUUUGUGGGUACUAUUUUAGAAUGGAAAUUGAAACAAUUGGGCUCACCUACUCCUUUAUGUUUGCCUUGAUUAUUCUGGGAUUCUUCUGAUUCUGGCUCAAUAAAGUCUAUUGUAUGUUCAUCUAAUUUCCUUCUAUUUUCAUAACUCAGUAAAAGGUCAUAAAUGCUCUUAUUUCCCUGCUGUUCUGCUAGAGCUUUUGGGGUUCGUCCUAUGGCAUCUGGUUUGUCUGCAUUUGCUCCUCCUUCCAGCAGAAUCUUAACCAUUUCAAGAUGCCCCUUGCGAACAGCAGCAAGAAGAGCCGUUUGGUUGUCCUCAAUUGUUGAAUUUACAUCGCCUACAUGUGUGAUAAAAUUAUGAUCUGCUCCUCUUUCGCCAUUUCCUCUAGCCUCGGAUUCCUCAGCAGAUAAAUCUCCUACUUCACGCAAUAAUGGAUCUCCAUGCGAAUAAUUUUGAUAUCCUGCCUCAAAGCACCAUCCUUCCUUUGGUCCUCCAUCGCACCAUUCACUGAGAAUCGUUCCUGGAUCUUUUUUCUGGUAAUCAAAGCCUGUGCUUUCUGAUCCUUGCAGUUUCUUGAAAAGAUUAUUCAUUAUGAUACGACCAUCUUCUGUAUUUGCCUGUAUGGUGUUAAUCAGUGAAGUUCUGGUUAGUCUAAGUAUUUGAGAAAGUUCACUUGUCCUGGCUGAGAAAGGUUGUGGCUUGUAAUAUAAAACUCCAAUCUCUCCGAAAAUAUCCCCUGCAGUUGCUUUCCCAAUAACCUGGUCAAUUCCAUCCGAAUAGGAUAUCAAAUCCACUGUUCCUGAGACAAGUAUAUAAAGAUCUGUUGAAGCUUCACUCUGCAAAAUUACGUCCUCCUUGGGUGGAAAAUAUUCAGCCUCCAUUCCUGAAGCCAAUUGGAAGAGGAAUUCAUGAGAAACCCCUUGAAAAAGAUAUACUUUUUCAACAAUGGGGUAGAAGAGAUGGCGUGCAAUGCUUGAACGAAUUGCUUUUGGCAGACCAUUCAAGGUUUCUUGUUGCUUCAGUCCUUCUGUUUUGAACUUCAGACACAAGUGUGACAGCAUUUGAUCCUGUAUGCGAGGUGGCAACUGAUUUCGUGUGGCAAAUUCUGAAGCUGCUCUGACUGUGUCCCUAAAAUUCCUUGUGCGACUGGUCCAGUGAACUACAAGGUUUGUCAUGUUUCCAAUGAGGUAAGCUGUCAAUCCCAAGUUGAACAACAUGUAGAAGAUGUCGAAAAGCAUCUCCCUGGGGUUCUCAGCAUGCAAGUCCCCAUAUCCAGUUGUAGUUAGUGUGGUAAUAGACCAGUAAAUAGCAGUUACAUAUCUGUUCCAGAGACUGUCUUCUUUGAAAUUUGGGUUUACUGCACCUAUCCAUGUUCUCUUUGGAUCAGGAUACCUGUCUGCAAUCAAGUAGUUAAAGCAUCCAGCGCAGUGUACUGCAAACAGGGUUACAGAGACGAGCUUUGUGCACCGAGUCCAGAAGUAGUUGAACCGGAUGUCCUUCUCAAGUCUGAAAGAAGCAAACAAUUUAUUGCAAUCCUUCUAUCAUAACAAUUUGAAAAUUUGAGGAAAAUAAAGUGCAUAGGAUUGAUGAUCAACCUUGCAAAAAGGGAGCUGACACGUCGGAGACGCCAAAGCCUAAGCAUGUUGAGUAAUCUAAAGCCAAUUUCGCUGCUGCUUCGAUUUGUGAACAGGAGACUGAGAGACUGAAAUGGAGCGGUUGAGCAAACAUCAAAGAGAAACCAAGUAGAUAUGUACCUGAUUGCUAUUUUCUUCGGAUCAUCAACAAGGAGAUAAGUUUGGCUGUCAAGAUAUGCAACGAAAAAAGUGAGAACAAUAUCAAUGGCAAAGAAGCCAUUGACAAUGUUGUCAAUGAUGAAAAGAGCAUCAUCUUUCUUGUAAGUUAGAAAUGCAAGCUCAAAUGGAGAGAUCCAAGCAGAGUAAACGACUAGAACAACCAGCCACAUCUCCCAAGCCCUAUAACGGGAACUGUAGGGGGAAAUUAUGUAUCUUCGGAGUAUGGUUGCCUGGUUUAUUCUAGCUCCAAGGGAUGGUAGAAGGUCACUAGAAAAGAAGCUGCCGUGGGGGAUGCCCUCCAUUUGAACAUCCUCUUUACAGAAUCGUUUGAAGAAGAUUUUGGCACAGGAAAGUGACAUCAUGGGCUGUUUGAAUUCCUAAGAAUACUGUUAAGUUUUGGUGAAGAUGAGCCCCUUGGUAAUGGCUUUAUUUAUAUGGCCUGGUAGGCUUGUGACAGGUGACACCGGUUAACUCUGCUUUUUACGGCCUUUUUUCCUUAGUACUCGUGACAUGUAUGAAAUGAUUCUGCAGGUAACUUAUGCAAGUAGUGCGUCACUAAAGGAUGAAAAUGAAAGCAUGAAAAAAACAUGAAAAGGGAACUUUCCCUCCCGUUUGAACAACAAAGAAGAUAAGAAAACACAGGCAAUGGAAGAAAGAAGGCGAUGUGAGAUAGUAGUGCAAGUGGCAGACAUGAGACUUUCUGUAAUGUUGUAGUUGCAGCGAUGAAUAUUCUG